AUACUUACCUGGCAGGCUAGAUACCAUGGUCAUGAAGGUGGUUGCCCCAGGGCAAGGCUCAUCUAUCGCACUCCAGAUAUGCUGGCCUCUGUGACUUCUCCAAAUGUGGGAAACUGGACUAUGGUGUUUUCC
This is a small nuclear RNA of Cervus hanglu yarkandensis (Yarkand deer), 132 nucleotides long. Its record names the gene U1. It matches the Rfam family "U1 spliceosomal RNA". Rfam says of the family: U1 is a small nuclear RNA (snRNA) component of the spliceosome (involved in pre-mRNA splicing). Its 5' end forms complementary base pairs with the 5' splice junction, thus defining the 5' donor site of an intron. There are significant differences in sequence and secondary structure between metazoan and yeast U1 snRNAs, the latter being much longer (568 nucleotides as compared to 164 nucleotides in human). Lineage: Eukaryota; Metazoa; Chordata; Mammalia; Artiodactyla; Cervidae. The record is from Ensembl.